Molecule: long non-coding RNA, 1587 nt
Organism: Populus nigra (black poplar)
Lineage: Eukaryota; Viridiplantae; Streptophyta; Magnoliopsida; Malpighiales; Salicaceae
Exons: 2
Source: RefSeq, a predicted model, not a curated record
AGGGUUGGCUUUAUAAUUAUUAAUGCUUGGACACCAAGGCUUUGACUGGAUCUUAGAAUGUGAACGCAUUAUCCCUCUCUAUAUUUUAUAAAUAAAGCUAAAAGGGACACUGUUUACCCACAUCUUUUAACACUUAUGACGGUAUUGUUCAACAAAUGUUACUUUAUUUUUUUUCUCUUGACUUUUUUUCUUGUUAUUCAAUUUUUUUUUUUAAUUUAGCUUUUAUAUGAUAUGUUUAUGAGGUUUAGAGUAGGGGAAGUGGUUGCCCAAAUCCAUUAGCACCGUGAAUUAAAAUAGUUAUUUGUAUUUUUUUUAUUUUAAUCCUUUUUUUAUUAUUAAUUUUUUUUAAUUUAGUUCUUAUAUGAUAUGUUUAUGGGGAUUUAAAGUUAAUAAUUUAUUUUAAUUUGUAUUUUAUAUGGUUAUUGCAGGAUAAAAAAAAAUUAAUAUCGAAUUAGUAUUGGGAAAAUAUCCCAUAAUCACAGUAUAAUCUAUUUUUAAAAAAAUUUAGUUAAAUAAAAAAUAAUUUAAAAAACUAGAUUAAUAAAUUUUAUAGAAUCAAAAAAAAUUUACAGGUUAUUUUGUUAAAGGGGAAUGGCUACAGCGAUAAGUAAGAUAUCAAUUUUCGAUUCACAAGAUAUGUUUAGAAGUUUUAUGCCAUUGCCUCUAAUUGGAUAAGUAUCAGGAUGAUAUAUUUUUCUCUGUCUGUAUGUUGUCGAUUGAGUCGAGUUUAUGUUUUAUGCCAUAGUUUUGUGAACCCGGUGCUGCUGGUGUUGCUGCAGCUAUUAAUUCAGGUUCUGUAAGGAAAAAACAGGAUCUCUUACUCAGCUGCUAUUGCCGUUAUCCCAUUUCAAGGAAGAACCUUGAAAAUAAAGGAAAAAGAUAAUGGUUGUUUUUUCUUCGGUGGCUGCUCCAUAUGUGAUUCUGCUCGCCACGUUGUUUCAAGAAGCCUAUUGAUUAGGAUGAGUUGUUCCUUUUCAAUUCUACCUGUUCAUAUUCAGCCAUGCUAAUUUCAAUCCUCCACUGCUGAUGGAAUUUUUUGCAUAACUAAAAGAACCGCUUUCGGGAACUUUACUUUUUGUGAUUUAUGGAAGUCUAUGUGGAAGACACCUCCUACCUCAUCUACCUCUUUUUUGGCUCUGCAAAGAAUAUCUAAGCUUGUUUAAAGUUUGUUAUGUUUAUUAGCAGCCAAUGUCACUCCAAUCCUUUGCCUUAAUCUUUUUGCAAGAUGUACCAAAUUUAUGGAUCUGUUGCUCUUCCUUCUGUUGUUGUCUAAAACUGUUUGUGUUAACGCUAAGACCCCAUAUUUGUGCAGCUUUUAUACUUCUUUCUUUGCCUUCCUAGCAUGGACUAAAAUACUAUCAUGGUUUCAUGAGAUGGUAUGUCCACUAUUCCUUAAAAAAAAAAAAAACCAUGUCAUGUUGACGUUAGAAAGUUAGAAACAGGGGGAGACGACCAUGUCCAACCGUGAGGGGUCAAGGUAUUCCCAAUAUUUGGAUAAUUUUACAUUUUAGUCUUGAAAUCUAAAAGUUUUAAAUUGUAUCGACUUUAUAUGUUUUGACUUUCAAAAAGCAAAGUAUUUUCUUCUUC